CCUACGGGUGGCUGCAGUGGGGAAUAUUGGACAAUGGGGGGAACCCUGAUCCAGCCAUGCCGCGUGUGUGAAGAAGGCCCUCGGGUUGUAAAGCACUUUCAGUGAGGAAGAACGCCUGGUGGUUAAUACCCAUCAGGAAAGACAUCACUCACAGAAGAAGCACCGGCUAACUCCGUGCCAGCAGCCGCGGUAAUACGGAGGGUGCGAGCGUUAAUCGGAAUUACUGGGCGUAAAGCGCGCGUAGGUGGCUUGAUAAGCCGGUUGUGAAAGCCCCGGGCUCAACCUGGGAACGGCAUCCGGAACUGUCAAGCUAGAGUGCAGGUGAGGAAGGUAGAAUUCCCGGUGUAGCGGUGAAAUGCGUAGAGAUCGGGAGGAAUACCAGUGGCGAAGGCGGCCUUCUGGACUGACACUGACACUGAGGUGCGAAAGCGUGGGUAGCAAACAGGAUUAGAUAACCCGGUAGUC
This 465-nucleotide ribosomal RNA is filed under the name Vreelandella stevensii. RNAcentral describes it as "partial 16S ribosomal RNA". It matches the Rfam family "Bacterial small subunit ribosomal RNA", at positions 338 to 795 of the family's 1533-position model. The record is from RNAcentral. Lineage: Bacteria; Pseudomonadati; Pseudomonadota; Gammaproteobacteria; Oceanospirillales; Halomonadaceae.